This 253-nucleotide ribosomal RNA is filed under the name uncultured bacterium. RNAcentral's name for it is "partial 16S ribosomal RNA". It matches the Rfam family "Bacterial small subunit ribosomal RNA", at positions 524 to 776 of the family's 1533-position model. The record is from RNAcentral.
UACGGGGGGGGCAAGCGUUGUUCGGAAUUACUGGGCGUAAAGGGCUUGUAGGUGGCCAACUAAGUCAGACGUGAAAUCCCUCGGCUUAACCGGGGAACUGCGUCUGAGACUGGAUGGCUUGAGUGUGGGAGAGGGAUGCGGAAUUCCAGGUGUAGCGGUGAAAUGCGUAGAGAUCCCCAAGAACACCAGUUGCGAAGGCGGCUGACUGGACCCAUAUUGACGCUGAGGCUCGAAAGCAUGGGGAGCAAACAGG